RNAcentral lists this ribosomal RNA (559 nucleotides) under uncultured bacterium. RNAcentral describes it as "partial 16S ribosomal RNA". It matches the Rfam family "Bacterial small subunit ribosomal RNA", at positions 355 to 1375 of the family's 1533-position model. The record is from RNAcentral.
UGGGGAAUAUUGGACAAUGGGGGCAACCCUGAUCCAGCCAUGCCGCGUGAGUGAUGAAGGCCUUCGGGUUGUAAAGCUCUUUUGGCGGGGACGAUGAUGACGGUACCCGCAGAAUAAGCCCGGCUAACUUCGUGCCAGCAGCCGCGGUAAGACGAAGGGGGCUAGCGUUGUUCGGAAUUACUGGGCGUAAAGCGAGUGUAGGCGGUUGCCGUAGUCAGGUGUGAAAGCCUUGAGCUCAACUCAAGAAAUGCACUUGAUACUGGGUGACUAGAGGACCGGAGAGGAUAGUGGAAUUCCCAGUGUAGUGGUGAAAUACGUAGAGAUUGGGAAGAACACCAGUGGCGAAGGCGGCUAUCUGGACGGUUACUGACGCUAAGACUCGAAAGCGUGGGGAGCAAACAGGAUUAGAUACCCUGGUAGUCCACGCCGUAAACGAUGGGUGCUAGACGUUGGCGAGCUUGCUCGUCAGUGUCGCAGCUAACGCGUUAAGCACCCCGCCUGGGGAGUACGGCCGCAAGGUUGAAACUCAAAUGAAUUGACGGGGUCAUAGCUGUUUCCU